CAAUGGUAUAUAGCAUAUCGUUAAACAAUCCUACGAGUAUGAUAUAUCUACCAGUGAGAUCUACGUCUACAGUCUGCAGUGUGAAUGAGACUGUUUUGCUGAUGAGGAUGGAUACUCCUCUGGCUUUAGUGGGUGCCAUGGCAUGGAACUGGUGUGGAAAGUCUUUGGUUAAUAUUGCUGGGUGGUCGUUGUGCCUAAAAUGAGUUUCCUGGAGGCAUAAUAUGUCUACUCCCAUAGGUCUAACCUCUCUGGUGAGAAGAUGGCGUUUUACCGGGGCAUUGAGGCCCCUAACAUUAAAGGUGCAAAGCUUCACGGUGGUCUGUGAGGUUGGUGUCUCUCGUACCUAUGGAACUGGUCAAUGUAUGUGAG
Pelobates cultripes (western spadefoot toad) is the source of this 369-nucleotide non-coding RNA. NCBI's taxonomy places the organism in Eukaryota, Metazoa, Chordata, Amphibia, Anura, Pelobatidae. The record is from the annotation of a GenBank genome assembly.